This 423-nucleotide long non-coding RNA is filed under the name Salmo trutta (river trout). RNAcentral describes it as "lncRNA (ENSSTUG00000026852.1)". Lineage: Eukaryota; Metazoa; Chordata; Actinopteri; Salmoniformes; Salmonidae. The record is from RNAcentral.
UCUGAGCCGCGCGUUGAAAUUGGAUCCGGUGCGGGAGAGAACAACUUGGCUGAACAGAGGACUGUUUUGUCCCUGUUCUCUGACUGGCAACGGACCAAUCUCUCUCACGGGCAACUAUUGUCUAGCCUACAGGACCUUCGGGACCUACACAGGACCUGCUGUGUAUCCAAGACCAAGAAAACAUCCCGUCAGGAACAAUAGAGCACCAGCAUGUUCUUCAGCACCGUCCUGUCUCUCUCUACUGGACUCCGCUACCAGCCACCAGCAUGACUUCCACACUUCAUCGGUUUCUCUCUCUACUCUGCCACCGCUGCCAUCCAGAGGGAGGUACAGGACAGUCGGGCAGGCUGACUGUGUGGAGGAAGUACAGCAGGACCUCCACUACCAGUUGUAGUGUUGCUGGACGGGAGAAUAACGUCUGGG